UGAGGAAUAUUGGACAAUGGGCGCAAGCCUGAUCCAGCCAUGCCGCGUGCAGGAAGAAGCAUCUAUGGUGUGUAAACUGCUUUUGUACGGGAAGAAACACUCCUACGUGUAGGAGCUUGACGGUACCGUAAGAAUAAGGAUCGGCUAACUCCGUGCCAGCAGCCGCGGUAAUACGGAGGAUCCAAGCGUUAUCCGGAAUCAUUGGGUUUAAAGGGUCCGUAGGCGGUUUAAUAAGUCAGUGGUGAAAGCCCAUCGCCCAACGAUGGAACGGCCACUGAUACCGUUAGACUUGAAUUACAAGGAAGUAACUAGAAUAUGUAGUGUAGCGGUGAAAUGCUUAGAUAUUACAUGGAAUACCAAUGGCGAAGGCAGGUUACUACUUGUGGAUUGACGCUGAUGGACGAAAGCGUGGGGAGCGAACA
This 422-nucleotide ribosomal RNA is filed under the name uncultured bacterium. RNAcentral's name for it is "bacterial SSU rRNA". It matches the Rfam family "Bacterial small subunit ribosomal RNA", at positions 355 to 774 of the family's 1533-position model. The record is from RNAcentral.